GAUGAACGCUGGCGGCGUGCCUAAUACAUGCAAGUCGAGCGAACGGACGAGGAGCUUGCUUCGCGGAUGUUAGCGGCAGACGGGUGAGUAACACGUGUAUAACCUCCCUAUAAGACUGGGAUAACUUCGGGAAACCGGCGCUAACACCGGAGAAUAUUUUGCACCGCAUGGUUCGAAGGUGAGAUACGGUGGUGCUGUCACUUAUAGAUGGAUCUCGGCUGCAUUAGCUAGUUGUUAAGGUAACGGGUUACCAAGGCAACGAGGCAUAGCCGACCGCAGAGGCGGAUCGCCCACCCGGGAAGGUGGCCACGGUCCUGACUCCUGCGGGAGGCAGCAGUAGGGAAUGUUCGGCAGUGGGCGAAAGCAUGACGGAGCAACGGCGCGUGAGUUAUGAAGGCCUUCCGAUCGUAAAACUCUGUUAUUAGGGAAGAACAUAUGUGUAAGUAACUGUGCACAUCUUGACGGUAACUAAUCAGAAAGCAACGGCUAACUACGUG
RNAcentral lists this ribosomal RNA (497 nucleotides) under uncultured bacterium. RNAcentral describes it as "partial 16S ribosomal RNA". It matches the Rfam family "Bacterial small subunit ribosomal RNA", at positions 28 to 507 of the family's 1533-position model. The record is from RNAcentral.